This 421-nucleotide ribosomal RNA is filed under the name uncultured bacterium. RNAcentral's name for it is "bacterial SSU rRNA". It matches the Rfam family "Bacterial small subunit ribosomal RNA", at positions 355 to 774 of the family's 1533-position model. The record is from RNAcentral.
UAAGGAAUAUUGGUCAAUGGACGCAAGUCUGAACCAGCCAUGCCGCGUGAAGGAUGAAGGUCCUCUGGAUUGCAAACUUCUUUUAUCUGGGACGAAAACGGGAUUUUUAUCUCAAUUGACGGUACCAGAGGAAUAAGCACCGGCUAACUCCGUGCCAGCAGCCGCGGUAAUACGAAGGGUGCAAGCGUUACUCGGAAUUACUGGGCGUAAAGCGUGCGUAGGUGGUUGUUUAAGUCUGAUGUGAAAGCCCUGGGCUCAACCUGGGAAUGGCAUUGGAAACUGGGCAGCUAGAGUGCGGUAGAGGGUAGUGGAAUUCCCGGUGUAGCAGUGAAAUGCGUAGAGAUCGGGAGGAACAUCUGUGGCGAAGGCGACUGCCUGGACCAGCACUGACACUGAGGCACGAAAGCGUGGGGAGCAAACA